This 491-nucleotide ribosomal RNA is filed under the name uncultured bacterium. RNAcentral describes it as "partial 16S ribosomal RNA". It matches the Rfam family "Bacterial small subunit ribosomal RNA", at positions 29 to 507 of the family's 1533-position model. The record is from RNAcentral.
GUGAACGCUGGCGGUAGGCCUAACACAUGCAAGUCGAACGGCAGCACCGUAAGAGCUUGCUCUUACGGGUGGCGAGUGGCGGACGGGUGAGGAAUACAUCGGAAUCUACUUUUUCGUGGGGGAUAACGUAGGGAAACUUACGCUAAUACCGCAUACGACCUACGGGUGAAAGCAGGGGAUCUUCGGACCUUGCGCGAUUGAAUGAGCCGAUGUCGGAUUAGCUAGUUGGCGGGGUAAAGGCCCACCACGGCGACGAUCCGUAGCUGGUCUGAGAGGAUGAUCAGCCACACUGGAACUGAGACACGGUCCAGACUCCUACGGGAGGCAGCAGUGGGGAAUAUUGGACAAUGGGCGCAAGCCUGAUCCAGCCAUACCGCGUGGGUGAAGAAGGCCUUCGGGUUGUAAAGACCUUUUGUUGGGAAAGAAAAGCAGCAGGUUAAUACCCCGCUGUUCUGACGGUACCCAAAGAAUAAGCACCGGCUAACUUCGUG